GCGCGCCGCCGCGCAGCUGCCCGCGGACGUGCGCGCGCUCUGCCAGCAGGAGCCGGUAGCAUUCAGUACUCCGCCCCCGACCGCGGCGGUCCCCCAGGCGGUCCCGCCCCCAGCCGCCCCCGUCCCGCCGCCCACAGCCGUCGAACCUUUACCGCCCGGAAUGGAAUAGUGGUCAAACAACCUUAUGUGGUAUAUCAUGGACCUAUACCUUGCCGAACCCCGCGAAAACUGAGUGAAGACAGUGUGAAAUUGAUAAUAAUGUGUAAUAAUGAUAGAUGUUAUAAUUUUCAGCAUUUUUGGGUAACGAUAUUCAUAAAAUUGUAUCGAUCGUUUCCAUUUAUAAUUUGUAAUAGUUUUGUGUCGACUUUGGAUUGUUCAAAUCUGUUUUCUCAUAGAGUGGGGGAUAGUCUGAAGUAAAUGCCCUAACAUAUUAAGCCUUUAAAAAGGGCCGGGAAACUUUGAAGAUAUUCCGUCAAUUGAAAGAGAUACAAAUAAUACCAGCUUAUACUUCUCACGGUAGAGCAGGCCUCUUUCCAUAUUUUUAAUUUAGACUACGAAUAAUUAACGAACGCCUUAAUCAAUUUGCCAGAUAAAAAAUACAUUAUAUGUAAAUUAGAAUAUAUAAUUUUGUUACGUUUAAUAUCCAAAUAUAAACCACAAGCAAUAAAAUGAUUUGAAUUACAAACGCUCAUGUAAAAAGAUAUUUACUAUGUAUAUUUUACGACUACGGUUUUGAAAAUAAAUGUAGAUUUUAAGGUAAUA
This is a long non-coding RNA of Trichoplusia ni (cabbage looper), 762 nucleotides long. RefSeq lists it as uncharacterized. Lineage: Eukaryota; Metazoa; Arthropoda; Insecta; Lepidoptera; Noctuidae. The transcript is spliced from 2 exons. The record is from RefSeq and is a predicted model, not a curated record.